Molecule: non-coding RNA, 44 nt
Filed under: Echinostoma caproni
Lineage: Eukaryota; Metazoa; Platyhelminthes; Trematoda; Plagiorchiida; Echinostomatidae
Source: RNAcentral
GUAUGCUGACGAGUCCCAAACAGGAUGAAACAGCUGUCCAGUGC